Ameiurus melas (black bullhead) is the source of this 73-nucleotide non-coding RNA. NCBI's taxonomy places the organism in Eukaryota, Metazoa, Chordata, Actinopteri, Siluriformes, Ictaluridae. The record is from the annotation of a GenBank genome assembly.
GGCACAGUGGUUUAGGGGUUAGAAUAUUGACCUCGCAUCACCAGGGUUGGGGGUUCAAUUCCUUCCUGUGCUC